GCUGCUCACAGCUGUGCCCACUGGGGAUGAGGCUCAGCCCCAGCCCCACUCCCAAUCACCGCAAACCGUGUGCCUACAGUAUUACACUGAAAUAGAGAUGGUGUCUUUGUAAAAGUAAAGAGUGUGAAAAUAUGGUUUUCCCACACACUUUCAGGAGAGUAACUAGCUCUCAACAAGGAGUUGUAUUACCUUCAGAUAUGCUGUGGAGGAGCUGUAAUAGAACUACUCAAAAAACAACACACCUGCUUCAAAGAGAGAAACCAUCUCCAGCCUGCUUGACACUUCACCAAAGCCUUUAAGAGAGAACUGCUGAAAGAUCUAUAAUAUACAUACAGAUUUCUGGGAGUGGUGAUAAAGGGAAAAGAAUGUUUUUAAUGUGACAUUUUGCCCAGAAAAACUUUGUCAAGAUAAUUUAAAUGCAGCUUUGAUAGUACUUAUCUGUAUUAAGAAAGAGAAAUGUGUCCAGAAAACAAGGUUCUCAGGGAAAAAACCCAAACUAAACAUGUGUAUUUUAUGACAAACCAGGUUAAAGCCAUAAAAUUAUUUAUGGAAGAAAUGAAAAUUAGAACAAAUUAAAAAUUUAAGACAUCCAAAAAUGUUAUUUAAAUGGCUGUAAUAGUAUAUAAACCUUUAUGUAAGUUAAGAUUUGCAUAUGCUCAUUCAAAUUCACAUAUGAUUUUUAAAUUUUGUUAACUUCAAAUUAGAAGUGUAACUUCAUCUGCUAUUUAUUUUAAUAAUUUUUAAAGCAGCAUUAUAUUCCAAUCAGGUUUUUAUAUCUUUUAUAUACUUGUCCCAUUAUUAAAAAGAAAAGUUACGUAGGUAAAUUAUGGAAAGUGAAAGAACCUUCCAACAGCCUUCUAAUAUAUAAAAUACAAUGGAUAUAAUUCUAUUGGCACAAUGGAUAUAAUUCUAGUGACCACAAAUACCCAGGAAUUAGUCAUUUAGGAUUUUAUGGAUUAAAAUUAACUGCAUAAGCUCAGCCAUAGCCCUAGCAGGAAACAAGUGCAGAUGGUGUGCUACUCAGCCAUAAACCUGUUAGAAAGACAGUAUUCCAUCAGUCUCUUACUCAAGUGAUCCACUGGACAGGGUAUGUGAUACAACUAGAACUAGAGAGAUGUGUUAUUGAAUUCCUUCAUUCAUUGUCAGAAAGGCUUGCUAAUACAUUUUCUACUGUUGGCAGAAAUUAGGUAUCUUAUACGUUCAAAUAUUCUAAUGAUUUGUGACCUUGGAAGAACUUAGUGACAAAAGCAAUACUAGGCAGGUAGUGUUACUUCUGUCUGAACAGAAUAAUAACAGGCAGUCUCUGACUUUAUCUUCUGCAUUGUCUGGAAGCUAAAGAGAGUCUCUUCUGCUUGAAUAAUGUCUGUCAAUUGCUGCUACAAAUGAGCAUUCUGGGGUCAAAAUUGACAACUUCCAGAAAUUAAGGUGGGUAAAGAUUAGGUGAGAAAGCAAAACAGAGGAAUAGAAAUACAACCAUAUAUAGAGUCAGAUAUGGUGACUUACAACCAUCUACAUUUUCCCAAUUUGUUAGUGUAAAAUGGAAUUUCUUAAUAGGUAACUGUAAGAUGAAGUUAUGUUUGUCUUUUGACAAAAUUACUCAGCAUGUCUCUAAGCUAUGAAAGUUUUAGUGCAACUGGCCACUGAGACACAAAUCCUACAAAUAGAGAUGUACUUGUGUUUUUAACACAAUUCUAAAAGACAAAAUGGUAAUUGAAAUAGAAGUAUUUCCAAAUAACACUUGUUCAAGUAUCUUUUGGAAAAACCUAAGAUGUCAACCUAAGAAUAUUAAAGUAACUGAUAAUAUUUUAAAAAUACUGUAGUCUAAAAAAGUAAUUUGAUGGCACCACAGCAGAUUUUUUAAAAUUGUUUCUAGAUUGGGAGGAAGGAUAUUUCUGCUUUAAAAGGGGCUGAAAACUUCAAUUUUCUAUAAAAAUAAAUUUGAAAUUCUCAUAAAAUAUAAAUCUAGAAACAGCCAUAUUGAUCUAGUAAUGGAAAAAUGAAUCUUUGCCUUUGGCUAAAGAAACGUGAUCAUACUAAGACUGAAAUAAGUGUAAAUGCAGCAUGAAGAUAAUAAAAAAAACAACCCAGAAAAUACUGCA
Passer domesticus (house sparrow) is the source of this 2099-nucleotide long non-coding RNA. RefSeq lists it as uncharacterized. NCBI's taxonomy places the organism in Eukaryota, Metazoa, Chordata, Aves, Passeriformes, Passeridae. The transcript has 3 exons. The record is from RefSeq and is a predicted model, not a curated record.